This 253-nucleotide ribosomal RNA is filed under the name uncultured bacterium. Its description in RNAcentral is "partial 16S ribosomal RNA". It matches the Rfam family "Bacterial small subunit ribosomal RNA", at positions 524 to 776 of the family's 1533-position model. The record is from RNAcentral.
UACGUAGGGUGCAAGCGUUGUCCGGAAUUAUUGGGCGUAAAGAGCUCGUAGGCGGUCUGUCGCGUCUGCUGUGAAAACUCAGGGCUUAACCCUGAGCUUGCAGUGGGUACGGGCAGACUAGAGUGCGGUAGGGGAGACUGGAAUUCCUGGUGUAGCGGUGAAAUGCGCAGAUAUCAGGAGGAGCACCGGUGGCGAAGGCGGGUCUCUGGGCCGUAACUGACGCUGAGGAGCGAAAGCAUGGGGAGCGAACAGG